UACGUAGGUGGCGAGCGUUGUCCGGAUUUACUGGGCGUAAAGGGAGCGUAGGCGGACUUUUAAGUGAGAUGUGAAAUACUCGGGCUCAACUUGAGUGCUGCAUUUCAAACUGGAAGUCUAGAGUGCAGGAGAGGAGAAUGGGAUUCCUAGUGUAGCGGUGAAAUGCGUAGAGAUUAGGAAGAACACCAGUGGCGAAGGCGAUUCUCUGGACUGUAACUGACGCUGAGGCUCGAAAGCGUGGGGAGCAAACAGG
RNAcentral lists this ribosomal RNA (253 nucleotides) under uncultured bacterium. RNAcentral's name for it is "partial 16S ribosomal RNA". It matches the Rfam family "Bacterial small subunit ribosomal RNA", at positions 524 to 776 of the family's 1533-position model. The record is from RNAcentral.